AACCCAUGGUGAGGGCAUCUUCGUAAAAGUUCCUUAUAUCUCUCCUAUGCAUCGUAGAGUGUUUCUAAACCCAUCUGCACAAAAGAAGAGAUAUCAUUAAGUAAUUU
This 107-nucleotide small nucleolar RNA is filed under the name Gossypium hirsutum (cotton). RNAcentral's name for it is "Plant small nucleolar RNA R71". It matches the Rfam family "Plant small nucleolar RNA R71". Rfam says of the family: R71 is a member of the C/D box family of snoRNAs containing the C (UGAUGA) and D (CUGA) box motifs. Multiple nearly identical copies of this snoRNA have been identified in Arabidopsis, and it is thought to function as a 2'-O-ribose methylation guide for 18S ribosomal RNA. Lineage: Eukaryota; Viridiplantae; Streptophyta; Magnoliopsida; Malvales; Malvaceae. The record is from Rfam by way of RNAcentral.